Long non-coding RNA from Bombus terrestris (buff-tailed bumblebee), 3821 nucleotides. RefSeq lists it as uncharacterized. The record is from RefSeq and is a predicted model, not a curated record. The transcript has 2 exons. Lineage: Eukaryota; Metazoa; Arthropoda; Insecta; Hymenoptera; Apidae.
UUAUCAUUCUAGAGUACAAUCCUUGGCAAAAUAAUUAUCACUUAAUAAUAUAUAUCCCCAAAUCUUCAUACUCAUACCAUCUCACACAAAAUCUCUGCCACUAACCAACACUCUCUGUCACAAACUUUUUAAGAUUCAUCUAACCUUAAACUACCUUCAGACAGAAUUCAUGAAUCAAGCAGCAGAAGUUUCAAGAAUCUUCAAUUUCCUCUAUAUCCAGACUGAAUCGACUGGAUCAAACUUCAAUGAAGUUGAAGGUGAUUGAAUGCGGGUGAUCGAGCGUGCGCGCACUCAUGCUUGCAGGAUAUCCGCGGAUGCAGGAGGCGGCUGACCGGGAGGAUGACGGCAAGCGCGCAAGAGCGAGAAGUCGGUAACUUAACUGGCCUAAAUGGGUUUAACUCGAUGUGAUUUUGCUGGCGAACCACUAAAUUGAACGAAUACGAACUAAACUGAACUCAACUAAGCUAAUCAUAUCACAUUACUAGCGUUAUUAGCCGAGAGACGAUAUAAGUGAAGGUCCGGUGGUGCCGGGCUGCAGUAACGGGUCGCCUCCUGCACUGACCCUCUGUACGACUUUCUUUUCGACCCCUUUUUCUCGUUCAUACUAUCAAGAAUUUCGUGUCCUGUAUCAUCUAUCCGUAUCUAAAUCAUAGAAACGCGUUCAUUUUGUAUAAUUGUUACGUUUGUCGUUGUUUACGAAAUCGUUUUUUAGGUUAGUUUUGUGAAACUUUGUGGAAGGUGAAGUCUCUCGGAAGAAACAGACGAUUCUCGAUGUACACGAGGUCUGGCGGACGAUGUUGCCCGAUCCUGGCCGAGCCGUAACGCUACCCUGACUGUGCAACAGGAAACACGUGCGCCCGGUGAAAGUGACAGCUCGGAGCGCGCCAAAUUUGAAACGGAGAUCGAAGAAUCGCGUUGUUCGUGUGAGUAAAAUGUUCUUAUAGGUGUAUAGUGAUUGUUGAAGAAUUCUUUGUUGGAAGUUGUGUAUGAUAAAAAUAAGUACAUAUCUUAACUCGAAACUGAUAUGGUUCGUUGUAAGUUACAUAUUGAACUAUCUUUUUAUGACAAAGCAUACUUGUAUCUUGAAUUCAAGCGAUAUGAUUUAAUUUAAGCUAUGAAGUUGCGAUUCUUUUAUAUCUUGUUGAGAUUUCUUGUAUAUGAUUCAUUAACGAUAUUUUACAUGUAUAAAUUCCUUAAGUGCUAAUUUUAUGAAGAUUCUAUGUGCGCUAUUUAAAAUCUUCGUAAAUAUUAUGAUUUUUAUAUAAUAAAAGACUUUCUAUAUGUAAAUUGUAUUUAAUAUUCAAUAUUCACAAGUUAGUCAAAAAUCUUCUAGCAAACUUUUACUAUUAUUAAUUCUUACAAUAUUAAAUUUGAAUAUUGUUAAUAUACCACUAAAUUUUCGUUAAAAAACGUUAUAUUGUAAUGUAUUGUAACGUAUUAAAUGUAAUAUUGGACAAACUGAGGAAGACUUGAUAUCGAAGUGGGGGAUAUCAGCGGUUAAAGAAAGAGAAGACAGAAUAAUUAUCUCCCACCAACCACUUCGAAGCGACAAGAGAGGGGAAUAGACCUGGAGGAAAGAUAAGAACGAAAUGGACACGAUACGUUCCGUCCCCACCACUUCUACCAGCAGAAUAGAAGGAGUUUCUCGGCUCCACCUCUUCCCCUUCCGAUAAUACCCUCCUUCGACGGUGGAUGACGAUUUGACUCUGACUUACUGUACUUAGAUCAGAACAGACUAACAUAAUCCACAUAUAUACAUAUAUAAUGUACACAAGCUUUUACAUAUAUGGAGAACGCAACGAGCUGAUAAUAAGCAGACAAAGGGAAAGAGUCUCUGUUGUUGAGAAGUAUAUUUAGAUCGAACGACACAGGGAAACGAGGUGAAGAGGAGGGUUUGGAAGCGACUUUUUGCACGCGAGCCGCUCUUUUUUACGUCGUAGGUAUGCCGACCGGAUAGUAUUGCCGUGUGGCCAGGCUGGCAGGGCCGACCAAUUGAGCCUGUUAACGUCAAUUGAGCUGAAUUAGUUCAAUUGGACGUAAUUGCGCGAAGGCGACGGGGAACCUUCGCUCUCUGUUCACCAGCCAUGCUCGCGUUUCUCUUUUCGCGCUGAUAUCGCCGUAUUCUCAGGACUUCCUUCAAAGUACAGUCCAAACAUAAGUUCGACAUAAUCGAGGAAUGUUGUACAAGACUGAUUUGAUACAUAGAUUGUUUAAAACACUGGUUUUAUAUAGGGAUAAUAUUUAGGCAUGGAGUCUUUUCGGGACGUAGUUUUGUGACUAUUUUAGGUAAAACGCUAUUUUAUAGAGAUUUACUAUGUUUCUCUAGAGCCGUCAAAUUGUAAUCUCGUAGAUUUAGUUGUUUAAUUUCUCACUAAAUGAUCUCAGAUAAAAUAGGUUUGAUGUUGUUUAACGUGAUUCUUAUGCUGAAGCAUUUAAACUUUGCUUUUAUUUAUUUUCAUAAUUAUGGUGGAUAAUUCUUGGGUACAAUGUUAACGCGAUUAUGUUAUGUAUAAAUAUAAUAUCUAUUACAUUAUCAAAUAACAGAUCAAACAUACAGAGCAAUAGGUACCUUCUUAAGAAAAUAACAGAAUCAUAAAAAAUUCACUACAAGACAAAUCAUUUCAUCGCUUCUAUGAAAAUUAGUGAAAAAUAAAAAAAAAGCAACCCUUAUAUCGGUCAGAAAAAUUCCACCCUCUUCGUGUUCUCUAAGCUUCCCCCAAGUAAAACAAAUUACAACAUCACCGGUACCAGGAUAAUGGCCAUCAGAGGAGGCAAUUAUGACAGCCGUGGCCCAAGAAUUAACGUGCCCACAUGAGCGUCGCGAGAUUCCUGAUCGAGAUCACAAUAAACGUUCCUUUCUCGCUUUUUCCCUUUUUUUCACCCCCAUGGAACGUUGGCGAACAAGCAACAGUCAUUGAUAUUAGUCACUUUAUAUCAUGCUGGUAUAUUUCACUGGUCAAAGCGUAGGGAGAUGGCCAACGACGAAGACUUUUUUAUACGUGCUGUAUGUGUUUUGAGGAGAAAUACUGGUGGUCGAUCCCCACCCUCGAUCCGACACAAAGAGCUUGGAUAUUUUCAAUAUACGCGCACUGUCUAUUCAAUGGUUGCUGCGAUUCUACCUGAGAUUCGAUUCAUACAGUGGAUGAAUUCCUAGUUUGAAAUAUGCCGGAUGCGACCACGUGGGCUGAGUGCAUGCAACAGGUGUAUGGAGACUCGUAGGAGACUACCUGUUGAGUGGAUAUAAAUUAAGGCUUUCGCUUUCAAUAAUUAUAUCGUCCAGAAGUUAUACUCAUUAACUCUAUAAAUUAAAAGGAGAAAAUGACGCGUGUUGGAUGUUACAAUUUUUCUGAAAUUUCUUCACAAUUUACGCUUAUUUAUGUCAUUAUCUUGCAAUACGGAUAAGCUUACGCUAGAGGCGAAUGUAAUUUGUUUCUUCGAGAAGUACAGUGGUAAUCACGUGUCCGGCCAAUGAAAUGUAGAUCAGUCAGAGAUGUAGAGUCAAUGAAGUAGAGUAACGCGUGAAGAAUGUAAAAUACAGUUGGAUUAGAACGUCGUGAAAUUGAAGAGAGUAGGAUUUGAGAAUUGAAGGGUGUAGAAUGAGCUAAAUUAGAUUAUCGAUGAAAGGAUUAAAGAUAUUUAUAAGGGUCGAAUUUGAGAGUUAAGGGGAGUGAAAUGUGCACUGUAGAAUGAGAUUGAUUAGAUUAUUAAUUAUGAAACGUGAAGGUUGAGGGGGCGUAGAAUAUGUGCUAUGAGAUAUACGCUAUAGAACGUAUAUUGUAGAAUGUUAUAGAAUGUAUUAAAUUAAAUUGUUGAUAACGUUA